Long non-coding RNA from Stegostoma tigrinum, 499 nucleotides. RefSeq lists it as uncharacterized. NCBI's taxonomy places the organism in Eukaryota, Metazoa, Chordata, Chondrichthyes, Orectolobiformes, Stegostomatidae. The transcript is spliced from 3 exons. The record is from RefSeq and is a predicted model, not a curated record.
UCAAAUUCCUGGAGAAAGUGAGCCACCUCAAUUAUGUCGACAGAGAUUCACAAUAGCCACUUCCAUUGUUUCAGUGAGUAAUCACAAGUUCCUUCAGUGCUUGUACACUCUAUAAUACUGAGAAGAACACCAACGAAACAUAGAAAUGUAGCAAAUUUACUGCGCAGAAGGACACGUUUAGUCGAUUGACUCUGUGUUCGUCAUGGCAUGGAGACAUUCCCUACUAUCAACCUUUAACUUGGGCGCAGGUGCUCUACAAAGCGGUUUCCAAGCCUCCUCUUGGUCUCACCAAUGCAGACGAGGCCACAUCGGGAGCAGUAGACCACAUCAGUGGAUAUGCAGAAAAAUUGUCUUCUCCAGCUGUCUGUUGAUAAAGGAGGUAGAAUUACAUUCAAAGUUUGAAAAAAGAAUGAUGUCUAAACCCACAAGAACAGAAAGUACCACAAGUCCAACCAAGCAACCAGUAAACUAAAGACUGAUCAUCACUGUGCAGAUAACA